AGCUAAAAUAAGACGCAUGCUGAUUAGAGCUAACUGCAUUCCGGGACAUCCUCUACGACCGGUUCCGAACGGAAUGAGUUCGAAAUCAUGCCCUCGAAGGUCUAUCUUCCUAUCCUUGAAUCUUUCUGGAAAGAACUCUUCGGCAUUGCUCGACCAUAUCUUGGGAUUUCGCCCCAUAGACCAAGUGUUCACCAAAAGCCGCGACUUCUUAGGUAUGAAAUACCCAUUAACGGUGACAUCUUCGGUCGACUCGUGCGGGACUAAUAACGGCGCCACGGGAUGCAACCUGAAACUCUCUUUUAUGACCAUAUCCAAAUAGGCAAGUUUCGGUAGGUCCGACUCUUCUACCAUUCUAUUCCUUCCGACAACACUUUCUAGCUCUUUCUGGAGAGCAACCAUGACUCGAGGAUGCCUUAGAAGUUCUGAAAAUGUCCACUCAAUGGCCGUGGUUGUAGUGUCGAAGGAAGCUGCCACCAUGUCCACCAUUAUAGCCUUGAUGUUUUCUCUACCAACGAUGUAGGGUUGAUCUUCAUCGUUAGGGUUUAUGGGUGUAUCCAACAACGAAACCAUCACUUGAAAGAAAUUUCUAUAAGGUUUUUGGUCAUCCAUGUUAAUCCCUUGUUGGUAUUCAUCUAUCAUUUUGUCAAAAAAUUCGUGAAGGCCACUGCUCACCUUCUUAAGCCUUCUUGUAUAUCCCUGCAGCGUAAAGAUAGAUAUGAUAGAAUCAGUUUUAUAUUAAUUGUAUUGUUCAUUACAAUUAUUCUUUGCGAAAAAACCAACUAGUCAUUCAAUCAAAUAUUAGGACUUCCGUGUUCCAGUCUGCAUCUAAUAAGAUUACUGUACACAAUUUAUUAUACUUUAAAAUUUGUAUUAUUAUUAGUACGAAAAAAUAAAUAAAUUAUGAAAAAGAAAAAUAGUACAUAAAAAACAGGAUAUAAGGAGGAAAAAAAAACGUUACCUGAAGAUCAAGUGGAGCAAGGAAAGGCACAUAAUCCGAGAGAUUGAAAACCCCAGCUAAGUGCAUGGCCUGGCUUAAAAUCGAUUUUAUCAUCCAUGGACCGCCCGAAUAACACUUUCGACAUCAUUCCUUCAAGAACCUUAGCCACCGCCUGGCUAAGUUUUAUUGUUUCACCCGCCGCCGCUACCUUCCUCACUGAUUCAACCAAUAACCCCACCUCCGCCUUCCUUAUCGGGGCAAAACAUUCAACUUUGGAAGCACUGAGGAAAUGCAAAAUACUCCAUUUCCGUACAGUUCGCCAGUAAGAACCGUACUGGGUAAAAGCCAUGGCCUUGCCACCAUAUGCGAAGUAUUUCGCGGAUUGGACUUUAGGCCUGGAAGCAAAAACGACGUCAUGGACCUUGAGGAACAGUUCAGCGGCUUCGGGUGAUGAUACCACGAUGGUUGGUACUUUGCCUAGCAUUAUCGACAUGAUGGGUCCAUAUUUUUUGGCGAGAUAGUGAAGACUUUGGUGUGGGAGGUUCCCUAGCAUGUGGAUGUUACCUACGACGGGAAGAGGGGCAGGACCGGGUGGAAGUUUCCGGCCAUUGUUGUUGCGGUUUGGUGAGCUGAAGAAGUAGAUAAAGGAACAGAGAGUUCCAAGGAGGACGAAGAGUACGGUUAAUGUCGAAGAAGACAUUUGGGAGGGAAGCCAAUCACAAUAGCUGAUAGCCACUGGGGAUUGAUUGAUUGAGUACUUACAGAUGGAAGCAACCGAUGAUAGCCGCAAGGCGGGAGAAUUAGCCAAAUAUGUCGAUUUUAACAAAAACUAGGGAGUAGGAUUUUUUUUUUUAAAUGUAAGGAAAUAAAUUGAUUUUGGCUCAUACAUAGGUAAAAGCUUUGCGGGCUUAUUUUGCCAGUUGAAUUACUUACCAUGGUAAGAAAAUAUUAUUAUAAUUUUUAUUUUAAUUAAUAUUAUUUUUAAGUUGUUAAUGUUAUUAAAUUUUUUAUUUUUUUAUGUUUAUAUAAUCAAGAUGAAGAUUAAAUUAUUGAAAUUUAUAUACACGCAAUUUAAAUAUAAAAUCAUCACGUGUUAUUGAACAAUACAUGAAAGAGAUAUGAUUCUUACACAUGUCUCAUAUGCUCAACGAGACUAAAUUGGAGUCUGCACUUAUCAGUGCUUUGCUAGAGAGAUGGAAAGUUAAAAUAUAUACAUUCCAUAUUUUGUGCGGUGAGUAUAUAAUUACAUUUGAGGAUGUAUCAUUACAACUCAAUUUGUCAAUUGAUGAGACAGUCGUUACGGGAGAUGUACAUGUUGGGAGUUGGAGGUCAAUUUGCCACCAGCUAUUAAGCAAAGUGCCAAACAAAUUGGGAGGUGAAGGUCAAUUUGCCACCUGCUAUUAGGCAAGGUGUCAGACAAUUUAAUGGUAAGCUAUUAUAAGAUUAUAUAUUUAUUUAUACAUUAAUAAUUUUUCUUAUGUAAAAUUUGUACAUUCAUAUAUUUUUAUCCUAUUUAUUUUAUUUCCAUGAUACGAUAUUUUUAACACUUUUGUAUCAUGUUUUAAUUCGAUAAUGUUCAUAGUUUUAUAAAAAAAUUCAAUUUUAUUCUAAAUUCAUCUAUUUAACAAUUAAGAUAUUGCAGAUGCCAUAUAUUUAUAAAAAUAUCCUGUUAAAAAACUUAAUCUUAUUUCAUGAAGCAUAGGGAGUAGGUACUUUCUAGUUCGUAUAAAUUGUUGACCAUAUUAUUUAACACUAAAUUUAUUUUUAAAUAUUUUUAAAAUGGUGAAUAUAACUAGUAGGUCUCUCACAUAUAGGGACUGAACUACUAGAAGUUAAUCUUUGUACUAAUAAAAAAUUAUAUUAUAUUAAAUUAUAAUAAAAUUAAUAUUUAUUUUUAUAUGAAAAUUUUAAUUUUUCGUUUGCAACAUAUUUCAUUUACAAAAUAAAAAAAUAAAAAAUAUUAUUUUAUUAAACAAUAAGACUAACAUUGAUAGCUAGAUUUCUAAAGCUGGAAUUUUUGACAUUGAAUGAAACUUGAACAAAGAAAAUGCAUCUCACGGAAAAGGAAAGAAAAAACAAAGGAUACACGGAUAACGAAAGAAAUUGACAGAGAGUGGCCCUACAUCAUGAUAAUGAUGAUGGGCACCCAAACCGCAAACUUUACUACAAAAUGCCAGAAACACAUAGAGCACAGUCAAAACUCUUGAACGAAAGAGACGAUGGAAUCAGAGGCGGAUUUAGGGGUAGCAGUCACAGCUGCUAAAAUGUAAAAUUAUUAUUUAAGUUUUUAAAUUUUUUAAAAAAAUUUAAAUUAGUAAAAGUAAAAUUAUAUUUCGGCCUCCUUUAUAUUAUAAAAAUUUAAUUUAAUUUUUUAAAAAUUAUAAAGAUAUAGACUAUAAAAAAUUAAAUAUUCAUUCAGCCCCUUAAAAAUUUGUUCUUGUUUCGCCCCUGAAUGGAAUUGGCGAAGGAAAUUAUAACACCCUAAACCCGGCCUAGACGUUAUGGCCGAAUCUAGUGAUGUCACAAGAAUUGAAUUUCGAAAACCAUGUUGACUUGGUAAACCGUUACUAUUUAAAAUUUACUAAAACUGCCAUUUAGUCGGUUUCUCUACCAAAACUUAUUAUAGCGGAAGCUUUAAUCAUUUAAGUUCGAAAACGCAGGCAUGUUUUUAGGAAAAUCACUAGUUGCAUAAAAACCGUUGUUUUAGUAGAACAUUUUUACCAAUGUAGUUAAAUCGUCAAAUGAUCCCGGAAAUAACCAGUUAAACCAAACAGUCCAGAAAGUCCCAAAAAUUACAAAUUCUCAAAACAAAUCUGAAACUUAAUAUAAAACCAUAAAUAAAUUAAUAACUAAAAAAUCGUUUACUGUCAUGUGGUCACCGUUGAGUCUCUUGCCAUACGUCUGUGGAUUACCUGACAGAAAAACAAACAGAUGUGUGUUUACAUAAACUCAGUGUGUAACUCAGCAGAAUUAAGCAUGCAUUCAAACAUCAUCAUAUACACAAUCAGAAACAAAUAGAGAUUCAAAAUCGAGCUCAGACCCUUUACAGAUACAAAUACAGAUACAGUAAACAGAAUCAGAAUCCUACCCCCGUCCUCUACACACCAUAUUCGACCAUCCUAAAACACCAUGUGGGGUUAAAAAAACACUCACCCAUCCCUACACACCAAAUUGUGCCAUUACGACACGUAUCAGAUAUAGUGCAGCCAAACUGCUAGAUAAUAGGUGACUAACGCUGAACAGAUACUUCCUUCGCAUAUACAAACCCACUCUAAAUAGAUACAGAGCACACACACACACACAUAUAUAUAUACAGAAUUAACAGACACAGCAUGCUUAACAGGCUUAUACAAACAGAUAGCAGACAUGAUUAUCACAGUCAUACUCAGAACAAUAUCUCAGUCUAUCAAAUCACAUAGUUUUAGGGUUCAGUUUGUAAUAGCUUGAAUUUCAAUGAUGUCGAAAAUAGUGGUUCGAGACCAUCAAAUCCAACAAAUGAACUCGUAGAUUAUAUUAUUUAAUAUUUACGAGCCAAAUGUAGUUUUUAAAAGAUUUUUGGAAUAGUAAAUUGUGUUUUAUAAAGAUUUAUUUGGUCAAGAAAUUCAGAAAAAGAGGUAUCGAGAUCUCAAUGUUAUAAACCAAGCCAUAAAUAUUUUUAUAAAUAUUUACGAAAUGUCAAUAAGGUAGCAUUAAAAUUUCGUUAGAAAAUUUUGACGUUUGGGUGGUCAAUUAAAUAAAAAGGAUUAAAUUGGAAAAUGUGUAAAAGUUGCUAAAAGGAUUAAAUAGCUCAAUUGUCAAAUGAGGAAGGACCUAAAGUGAAAAUAAGCCCAAAGGAGAUAUUUUGGGCGGCAAUAGCUGAGAAAAAUCAGGAAACGGGUGAAAUAAGGGCAAAAUUGGAAAAUUGCCAAAAUUAGCUAAAUAAAAAAGGGACUAAAUUGGAAUAUCUAGAAUUCUCUUCAUUUCUCUUCAUAUUCAUCAGCUGAAAAACAGCCUUGGAAGGGGGUUCAAGCUGGUUUUCAUGCUCUAGCUUCAUGUAAGUUUAAUUCUUGCUUUCUCCUUGAAAUUUCUAUGUUUUUGGAAGUUUACAAUUGAGUCCAACUUAAUAUUUCAUUAGUUUUUGAUUCCAUGGCUAAUUUUUAAAGUUUUUAUGGAUGAGUGCUGAAAUAAUAUGAUGAAUAAUCAUAGAAUUGAAGCUUUAAUUUUGGUAUAUAAUGAUUUUAUCAAGUAAAAUUGAUGGAAAUUCAUUUUAGGGCCUAAUUAAGAAAGAGUUUGGAAUUAAUGUCUAAUGUUAAAUUUAUGAUUUUUAGGGGUUAUGAAGAAGUUUAAAAUGAUAGACUAAAGUAUUAAUUGAGAAAAAUUAUCUCAAUUGAGGGGUUAAUUGAGCAAGGAGUGAAUUGUAUAAACUGUGAAAUUUGGGGCAAAAUGGAAAUCAACAUUUUUCACUAAAACUGUUUUGGACAGCAGCAGUAGUGUAACUUUGAAAAAUCACCAAAAAUUGUAUAAAUCGAAUUAGAGGAUGAAUAAAAUAUGAAAAUUAAAGCUUAUUGAGUCUAGUUUCUUAUAAAAGAAACGAUGUAAGCAAUGGAAUUGUGAAUCAUGAGAUAUAAUAAAUUUUAUGAGACAAGGAAAGAAUGAUUUCGGGUUCCCCUGUUUUGACUUUGGAAAAUCAUAAAAAUUGGAGAAAAAUAAUUAGGGGCUUAAAUUUAUAUGUUUAGAAUCCUUAAUGAUCCUAUUUUCCAUAGAAACAAACGACAACAUCAUUUGAAUCUUGUACAAGGGUAUAAUUAAUUUUUAGUGAAGAAGAGUCGGAACUGUUAGACAGCAGAACAGGGAUAACUUUAAAGAAUAAACUGUACUUAUUGGCUAAACCAAAAAUUCUGAAAAUUUUAUGGUAAGAAUAUAUGAGUCUAGUUUCAGGGAAAAUUAUUGUAUCUUAAUGUGGAGUUAUAUAGCUCUAGAUAUAAAUAAUUUAGUGACUAUGACACAGAUGGACAGCUUAAAUAUUCAUAAAAGUAAAUAAUAAAGAUUAUAGAUAAUGUUACUUACAAGUGUGUUAUAUACAUUAAGGAUGUGGAAUGGAGAGGAGGAGGAGGAAAAUAUAUAUGAAUAUCCAGCUAGCAUGGCUAAUUUGCAUGUUUUAGGCUUAAGGACUGAAUUGAAUAAAAGUAAAACUUCAGGGGGUAAUUUUGUAAAAAUGUCAAAAAUGACCAAAUUGAAGGGAAUGGAUUUUUUUAUUAUCUAAAUUAAUAAAUUGAAUGAAAUUUUCAAUUUAAGAUCGGGUGAAAAUUGAGAAAAUGGUAAAUUACCAAAAUGCCCCUUAAUCUUGAUAUUUCUGCAAUUUCGCCAAGUAAGUUCGUGUAACUUGAAUUAUAUUCUUAAAUGCUUGAAAUGUAUGUUUUUUUAUAUGAAUAUGAUUUGAAUGUACAUUAUAUGGAAAUUUAUGAAACAUUGAUAUAUUAAAAAAAAAAGGAAAAAAAAUCCCGGUUGAAUGGAAGGAAAAUUCGAUGGAUAUCUGAAAAGGAAUUGACGAUAAAAAGGAUCUAGCCCGGACGGGUGAUCCUAUCCUGAUAUAGCCCUCCCGAAGAAUAUGUGGAAAAUGGAUUUAGCCCGGACGGGUAAUCCGAAUUAGGGUCUGAAUUUAGCCUGGACUGGUAAUUCAGAUCCAAGCUCAUUAGAGUAAUUGUUGUUGCAGGGGAUUUAGCCUAGAUUGGUAAUCCCGACAAUACUCUAUGAGUUUAUAUUACAGGGGAUUUAGCCUGGACUGGUAAUCCCACUGUAAGGAUGAGGUUCUUAGGAGUGUGCUCUCUGAUAUGGAAUGUGUAAGACCAUGGUUGAAAGAUACCAUGGCAACCUGAUAUGAAAUGUGUAAGACCAUGGUUGAAAGAUACCAUGGCAACCUGAUAUGAAAUGUGUAAGACCAUGGUUGAAAGAUACCAUGGCAACGUGAUAUGAAAUGAAUAAGACUAUGGUUGAAAGAUACCAUGGCAACCUGACAUGAAAUGAGUAAGACCAUGGUUGAAAGAUACCAUGGCAACAUGACGGGAAAAUGAAUAAGACCAUGGUUGAAAGAUACCAUGGCAACAUGACAGAAAACGAGUAAAACCAUAGUUGAAAGAUACUAUGACAUCAUGUCGAAGAUAAAUAAGAUCGAGGAAGAGAAACGCUAAGAUAUCUAUUGAACAAUCGAUAUUCAGGUAAUAUGUAUCAGAUGGAAUGGUUAUAUGAAAUGGUUGUGUGAAAUGUUUACAGGAAUUGGUCAUAUGGAAAUAUAUGUACAAGAUAGUUGUAUGAAAUAAUUAAGAAGAUAGAUAAAUGAAAUAAGUAUAGGUACAUGGAAUUUAAUUUAUGUUAAGUUUAAUACGAACUAUUACCGAAAUAAAUAUAUACAAGAUAUAAGGAAAUGAUGGUGCAUGAAAUAUUGAUAUAACGAAAUGAAUGAUAUAUGCUUAUGAAGAAACAGUAAGAGAAUAAUAUAUUUUGUGACAUGUACAUAUAUAAUUAUUUUUGAUAUGUUGAUACAAGGAAGUUAUGUAAGUUGAGACUAUUAUUAAACUCAAGUGUGAUAUGUUGAGAAAAUAGGUAUAUCAAUGUUGAAUUUAUAUGAAAUAUGUGCAAGUAUACUAACAAUGUUGUUGUUUGACGCUUAGACAAGUGCCAAGCUAUUGAUUGAAUAGUAACAUGUUUAAUUAUAAGGAGCAUUGAAAUGGUAAGUACUUAGAUGAAAAUAUAAUUUAAGAUUUUGCGAAAUUUUUUAUGAUCUCGAUUUUAUUCUAGUUGGUUUCUAAUGUAUGUUUUGGGCUUCGAGGGCCCAAUAGAGAGACGUUAUGAUUAUUUCAAAAUAUGAAUAAUAAAUGACUCAAAAUUAUCUGAAAAUAUUCAGUAAACUCCGAUAAUGCCUCGUAUCCUAUUCCGGCAAUGAAUACGGGUAGGGGGUGUUACACAGUUAGCCUUUACCGACCCUACGGUUGGCCCAUAGUCGGUUAGGAUGACCCGCGUGACCCAACAGAGAAUUUCAGUAUAUUGGGCCCACAUGCCCUUGUGGCCCCACACGCUUAGAUUAGUUUCCCUGUGUGGCCCACACGGGUUGGCCCAAUAAUCCACACGCUCAUGUGAAAUGCCCCAUAUGGGCCCACAUGCCUAACUUGGUCUAGCCCGUGUGGCCCACACGGCCACACUCGAGCCACCACACGGUGGUGUCUUGCGAACGACAUUGUCUUCAUCUACCACACAAUCGUGUCCUCACACACAGCCUACCACAUGGGCAACCAUACGCCCAUGUGGCAUCGACAGUUUUGUUUUUCGACUUUUGCCGAAGUCUCAUUUUCUGCGUUUCGAGCACACACCUGGUAUCAAUUAGAUGCGAAAACACACCCGAGCUUUCCAAAACCUAAGAAUCGACAUACCAACGCUCAGAAUCAAACUUAAUACACGAUUAAUUCAUAAUUACGAAACCAACAACAAACCAAUCAUUUACUCUAACACCCUGAGCGACUACGGUUCCAAUUACCUACGAGGAGAGCCCUUUUCUUCCUAAUUUGCUGCUGUCAAAACAACAAUAAGAUUUUAAACGAAGAUUUGAAACUACAAAUAACGAAUUUAAGAACCACCACUUGAGCAAAUCAUUCAAAACUCAUUUACCGACGUACAAACACCUUAACCCAAAGCUCAGAAGUUAAGAAUCGAAUUUUGCCCCAAACAAAGAAAAAGAAAGAUGGACGAAACAGAAGAAAAAGAAUUGUAGAGAGGAAAAGAAGAAAAAAGUCAAAUAUCUAAAAAGGGAUUUUUAGGAAAAAGAGAGUUAAACUCAAAUCCCACUACACCACAAUCCUAACCACCCAUUACUCAAAAUUCUACCCCAACAAAAACUCUAUCACGAAGCCGAGCAAAAAUAAUUCCUAAGCUCACGUAAGGAUUUGAACACAAGACCUCUAAUAGACUAACUCUUUACCACUCGAACCAGUAGACUCAUUCUAAUAUGAAAUUACAGACAAUUAAAAUUAAGCCCGCUGAACAAGGACAAAGCUUAAUUCUAAAAAUAACAAAAUUUACUAAAGAUAGAGCUUGAACUUAGGACCUCCCACACACAAAGAACAUUUAACCACUGAAACAGAUAUACAUUUGUAUCACAUUUUCACUAAAGAAGAAAUAUAUUAUUCAGGGCGUUACAGAAACACAAAACAGAGCAGCAACACCUUAAUUAAGUCCCCUGCAUCAUUCUCUCAACAUAAACCAAAGGAUUAAGUCUCUGUUAGAAUAAGUUUUAUUUGUUUAUGCUCAUUUAUUUAUUUUGAUAAAUCAACAUAAACAACAACCCAAAUGUUCAUUUACAACCUUAACUUUAAGCAAUUAAACGAUAAGUCGGCUUUGCAAGUAAAUGAUUAGCCCUCGGCAACGUAAGGCCGAACUUCUCGGUCAUGUCGAGUUCAUUCGACAACAUCCCAUCAGGUAACUCCCAGUCAAAGCAAUGGGCUAAUUGAGCUAAAAUAAGACGCAUGCUGAUUAGAGCUAAUUGCAUUCCGGGACAUCCUCUACGACCGGUUCCGAACGGAAUGAGUUCGAAAUCAUGCCCUCGAAGGUCUAUCUUCCUAUCCUUAAAUCUUUCUGGAAAGAACUCUUCGGCAUUGCUCGACCAUAUCUUGGGAUUUCGCCCCAUGGACCAAGUGUUCACCAAAAGUCGCGACUUCUUAGGUAUGAAAUACCCAUUAACGGUGACAUCUUCAAUCGACUCAUGGGGGACUAACAACGGCGCCACGGGAUGCAACCCGAAACUCUCUUUUAUGACCAUAUCCAAAUAGGCAAGUUUCGGUAGGUCCGACUCUUCUACCAUUCUAUUCCUUCCAACAACACUUUCUACCUCUUUCUAGAGAGCAACCAUGACUCGAGGAUGCCUUAGAAGUUCUGAAAAUGUCCACUCAAUGGCCGUGGUUGUAGUGUCGAAGGAAGCUGCCACCAUGUCCACCAUUAUAGCCUUAAUGUUUUCUCUACCAACGAUGUAGGGUUGAUCUUCAUCAUUAGGGUUCAUGGGUGUAUCCAACAACGAAACCAUCACUUGAAAGAAAUUUCUAUAAGGCUUUUGUCAUCAUUGUUAGUCUCUUGUUGGUAUUCAUCUAUCAUUUUGUCAAAAAAUUCGUGAAGGCCAUUGCUCACCUUCUUAAGCCUUCUUGUAUAUCCCUGCCGCGGAGAGAUAGAUAUGAUAGAAUCAGUUUUAUAUUAAUUGUAUUGUUCAUUAUAAUUAUUCUUUGUGAAAAAACCAACUAGUCAUUCAAUCAAAUAUUAAGACUUCCGAAUUCCACUCUGCAUCUAAUAAGAUUACUAUAACACAAGUUAUUAUACUUUAAAAUUUGUAUUAUUAUUAGUACGAAAAAAUAAAUAAAUUAUGAAAAAGAAAAAUAGUACAUAAAAAAACAGGAUAUAAGGAAAAAAAAUUACCUGAAGAUCAAGUGGAGCAAGGAAAGGCACAUAAUCCGAGAGAUUUAAAACCCCAGAUAAGUGCAUGGCCUCAUCAACCAGUGGCUUAAAAUCGAUUUUAUCAUCCAUGAGCCGCCCGAAUAACACUUUCGACAUCAUUCCUUCAAGAACCUUAGCCACCGCCUGGCUAAGGUUUAUUGUUUCACCCGCCGCCGCUACCUUCCUCACUGAUUCAACCAAUAACCCCACCUCCGCCUUCCUUAUCGGGGCAAAACAUUCAACUUUGGAAGCACUGAGGAAAUGCAAAAUACUCCAUUUCCGUACAGUUCGCCAGUAAGAACCGUACUGGGUAAAAGCCAUAGCCUUGCCACCAUAUGCAAAGUAUUCCGCCGAUUGGACUUUAGGCCUGGAAGCAAAAACGACGUCAUGGACCUUGAGGAACAGUUCAGCGGCUUCGGGUGAUGAUACCACGAUGGUUGGUACUUUGCCUAGCAUUAUCGACAUGAUAGGUCCAUAUUUUUUGGCGAGAUAGUGAAGACUUUGGUGUGGGAGGUUCCCUAGCAUGUGGAUGUUACCUACGAUGGGAAGAGGGGCAGGACCGGGUAGAAGUUUCCGGCCAUUUUUGUUGCGGUUUGGUGAGCUGAAGAAAUAGAUAAAGGAACAGGGAGUUCCAAGGAGGAUGAAGAGUAAGGUUAAUGUCGAAGAAGACAUUUGGGAGGGAAGCCAAUCACAAUAGCUGAUAGCCAUUGGGUAGUGAUUGAUUGAGUACUUAUAGACGGAAGCAACCGAUGAUAGCUGCAAGUCGGGAGAAUUCGCCAAAUAUCUCGAUUUUAACAAAAACUAGGGAGUAGGAUUUUUUUUUUUAAAUGUAAGGAAAUAAGUUGAUUUUGGCUCAUUCAUAGGUAAAAGCUUUGCGGGCUUAUUUUGCCAGUUGAAUUCCUUACCAUGGUAAGAAAAUAUUAUUAUAAUUUUUAUUUUAAUUAAUAUUAUUUUUAAGUUGUUAAUGUUAUUAAAUUUUUUAUUUUUUUAUGUUUAUAUAAUCAAGAUGAUUAAAUUAUUAAAAUUUAUAUACACGCAAUUUAAGUGUAAGAACAACAUGUGGUAUUGAACAAUACAUGAAAGAGGUGAGAUUCUUACACGUGUCUCAUAUGCACAACGAGGCUAAAUUGGAGUUUGCACUUAUCAGUGCUUUGCUGGAGAGAUGGAGAACCAAAACACAUAUAUUCCAUCUUUCGUGCAGUGAGUGUAAGAUUACAUAUGAGGAUGUAUUAUUACAACUCGAUCUGCCAAUUGAUGAGGCAGAUGUUCACAUUGGGGAUUGGAGGCCAAUUUGCCACCAACUAUUAGGCAAGGUGUUAGACAAGUUUAGUGGUAAUCAGAUAUAUAUGAAAUAGUUAGAAGAUAAUUUCUCACAUCACAAAACUCUUCUAGUGCAGUUGAAAGACAAUAAUUAACUUGAGCAUUUAUAUUGAGGUUGAUUGGGGGUCUUCUAAUUUCAUAUAAAUCUCAAAUUUUGGUACAUUUAAAGGGACUCCUAUAACUAAUCGACCUAAAAGAAACUGAGUAACUCAGUUGGGGAUCAAUUGUCUUGGCUACAUUGUAUUGAGAGAUGUGUCGGAUAACAAAAGUACAAAAAUUAAAAUUGAUGGUUGUAUAUCCCUUCAAUCAUGGGUAUGGUAUCAAUUACCAUUUUUACGUCUCAAGUAAACUCCCAUUAUCAAUUAUCACUCGUAAUAGGGUAAGAUCAUUUAAUAAUGUAGUUAUCAUACUAUUUUUUUCAUUAUUAUAUUUUUGGAAUAACAUAUUAUUUGAACAAAUGAAAAAAUAAUGCAAGUCAUGUGGGUAUACCGAAUAAGCUUGAAGAUAUUUGGUUAUUGUUAGAUCAAUGGUUAAAAGUUGAGAUUAGUUUUUAAAUUUUUUUAAUUACAUAAUAAUUAUGUAAGGAUUUAAAUUUUAAUAUAAUUUGAAAGGAUAUCAUACUUUGAUCUAGCACGUCAAAGUGUCAUUAAUAGUUUUUGCAUUGCCUAUUUUUAAUAAAUAUAUUUGAAGUAAAGUUUUUUUAUAUACUCCAUUUGAUCUUUUUUAGAUUUUUAAAAAAAUAAUACAUACUUUUCAUAUUUUUUUUAGAACUAGGACCAAAUUAAUAGAAUAUAUAAACAUUGAUGGUUUAAUUUGUUAUUAUAUCAAUCAAAAUUAUGUAUAAUUGAUGGAAAAUAUUAUUCUUCAUGAUUAAUUAUUCUUAGUUGCUCACUUUUGAAAUGAACAAUGAUUAAAUUGCUUUGUUGUUUUUAGUAGGACCAAUUUGCUUAAUAUAAAAAUUGAGAGAAACUAAAAAGGGGAUUUUACCGAAAUCUGCUCCUCUAUAUGCAAAGGCUUUACUUCUUUUAGCUACAAUUGUAUUUAUUAAUUCAUAGAUUUGUUGGGAUAGCUACAAUGGCCAUUACUUGCAGAGACCACUGGACCAAUCACAAAUACCGACACCUAAAAUCAUAUAGUUAUUUUGGAUAAAUCCAACGUGAUGUAAAUUAUAUAUAUUUCUAAAAAAUUAUAAAUUAUAAUAUCAUAUAAUAAAAUAAUAUAUGAAUUUUAAUUGUAUUUGGUAACAUGUAUUUCUUUUCAACAUACCAUAAUUGUGGGCUGAAAAUUGUGGAUAUAGAUAUAAGCUGACAAAAACUUAGAAGUGGUUGAACAUGACAUGAUUGCGUGAUGUGAGGUGACAACUAAUCAGUGGCAGGUGCAAUUAAAGAAUAGGCUAAACUUAAUACGGAUGGAGUUGUAUAGUAACUUAUUUAUAGGUGUUGAAAUUUUUUUGAAAUUGACUUUUUAUUUUUAAAAAACGAAAAUGGAGUUGCCACUGAUCACUUUUGGGAGGCGUAAUCAGGUCACUUUAUAAUUUUGAUUAUUUUAAUAAGAGGUUUGAUUUAUUAAAAUAAUAUUUUUUAGUCUAUAAAAAUUUAGAAAAUGGGUUCAGUGGUCGGUUACGUACGAAGAAGGAUUAGCACCCUCAUUAUGUCUAAAAUUGGAACCUAAUUGAUUACUUGAUGUAUUUAGUGUCGAAAAUUAAAAAUUUGAAGAUAUUUUAAAAUACGAUCCUUUAUUAAAACAUUACUAAAUUAAUUUUCACAAAAAGAGGCUUAUUUCAGGUUAAUCGAAAAGAAAUGAUCAUGUCCCGUAAGUUAGGAUACAAUGCCUUAAAUCCUCAAGAACAAAAAUGAACGCCAUUUAAUUAUCAUUUCCCGUUUUUAUUUUAUUUUAAAGUAAAUGUUCGACUAUCUCGGUUUUAGAAAGAAGUCACAUUCUGUAAGUUAAGAACAUGAAUUUUCUAAUUCCAAAAUAAUGAACAUUACUAUAAUUUAAAAUUUCUUUUUUAUGCCACGUGCAAAGACAAAUGCAAUAUUUAAUAUAAUGUGUAUUUAACUUAUUCGGGCAUGAUAUACAAAUGGAUAAGCGUUAAAACCCCAUGUAUGGUAUGAAGAUAGCGAAGGAAUAUAAGAUGACCAUAUAAGUAAAACAUUUAUGCUAGAAUGACAAAUAACAAAUAAAUAGAUAAACACCAUAGUGAUAAUAAUGUAAAUAUGACAAUAAUAAGAAUAUUAAUUCACGACAUUAAUAACAAAAUAAGUGAAAUAACUUAAAAUAAAAAUAAAUAAAUAAAUAAAAUUAAAAACAGAAGGAAAGUAUAGGUAAUAUUAAAUUUAAAUGUUUAAAAAGCAGAAUAAUAAUAAAUAAAUAAAUGGACAAAACAAAUAAUAUUGAAUUUAAGUAUUUAAAAAAGGUAAAAGAAAAAGAAACAAGUAAUAUUAAAUUUAAUUAUUUAAAAGUAAAAGAAUAAAUAGAUAAGUAGAUAGAUAAGACAAAAAAUAUAAAAUUUAAGUAUAAAAAAAUAAAUGAAUAAAUAACUAAAUAAAUAGAUAAGACAACUAUGAAUAAUAUCAAAUUUAAAUAUUAAAAAAGGUAAAAUAAUAAUAAAUAAAUAAAUAAAUAAAAUUCUUCAUGAAAAAUUGAAAUCGGAUAAACCAAGGACCGAAUCAGAAUGAAAAUGAAGUUAAAAGUAAAAAUUACGAUAAAAUAAGUAAAUAAAGAUUAAAAUGAAAAGUGCGAAAGGAAAUAGGGACUAAAUGGAAAAAUAUCCCAAACCCUAUUAAACACACCUCUGCUUUGACAAAUUAGAGGACUAAAUUGCACUAAAAAUAAAAUAAAAUAAAAGGGAAAAAUUAAAAGAAGUAAUAAACAACAGUAGGACGAGAUUGAGAAAUAGUGAAAAAGCGGAAAGACUCAAGCGAAAAUUAGACCAUUUCAUGAAAACAUGUGGACCCUGCUGUAUGGACGGGUCGGAUCGUUGGGCUCUGCUUCGAAACGACAUCGUUUUGGGGGCAUCUCAAGCCAGGCCAAAACGACGCCGUAUUGAUGGCCUAUUUAAGUUUAAAAAAAUAAAAAAAAUCAUUUAAAACAGUUUUCAAAAAAAAAAACUUUCUUUUCUUUUUUUUUCUCUGAAUGCCUCCUUAGGCCUGCCAUGGCUCCGGCGAGUCAUAGCCAUGCCGGCCACCAGUCGCCGGCGACGGCUUCGCUGUCUCCAGUGGCCAAAAAACUUAAAACGCACCUUUUAACCUCCUUUUCACUAGGAGCCCCAUUUUAGGGUUAAAAGCAUCGAGAUCUCGACAAAAAGGGGCCAAAAAUGAGAAACCCUUCAGUUUCCUCUUCUCUCCGACGACCGAAGCAGGUGAAAAUAUUUUUUUUGUUUUGUUUUAUAUAUAUAAUGAUUUGAAAGAAAAAACAAAAAAAUAAUAAAUAAAAAGAAAAUCAAUCACCUUUGAAAUCCUGUAUUCUAUUGUUUAAAAUUUUUGAUUGCUAUUUUUUUCGUUCUCUGUUUUUUUUUUCAAAAAAAAUGAACUCACUUUUACAAUCGAUUUUUAGGCUUUUAUAGCCGAAUUUACAUAUUGUUUUUUUCUACUGUUUCACUACUGUUUCCUUUCACUGUUUCUUGCAUGUGGUUUCUGUCAUUUCUCUUUCUUUUUUGCAGAUGGCGUGGAGGCCAACGGAGAGGAAAGCAAAUGUGCUUUUUGCCGUUUUGAUACAAGGCGAUAAACGUGAGUCUAGCCUCGAGAUGAGAAGCGUGCGGCAUGAUCGAGGAGAAGCAGCAAGGGGGCUAGGGUUUCUUUUGUUUUACUGAAAAAUAUUUAGGUUAUGGGCUGGUAACUUUUGGGUUAGGGUUUGGUUGUAUUUUGGGCUUUAUUUUUUUUGAGCCAUCACUGUAAAUGGACUAUUUUUUAUUUUAUUAUCUUUUAUUUUUAUUAUUUGGUUUAUUUUUAUCCUGGCCGAAUAAAAUUGGCCCAUUAUAGCUUCCCCUCUUUGCUUAUUUACGUGUAACAAGAAUGAAGCAAAGACUUUAAGAAUGACCAAUUUUGUCUGGUCUUGCCAACUCUCGACUUUUUUUGUGCUUCUCUUUUUCAAGUAGGCUCAUUCUAACCCACUGCAACUUCAAAGGUAUAAGGUUUGUCCCUUCAAUCUAUUUCACUGCAACUUCAGAGAGAUAAUAUUAGUAGCUUCAAUCUGCUUUACCGCAACUUCAAGGAGAUAAGAUUUGUAACAUGCAACUUUAGUCUAUUCCACUGGAACUUCAGAGAGAUAAGACUUGCUAUGGUAGAUUUAAUCUGACCUACUGUAACUUCAGAGCUAUAGGACUUGCCGCUUCAGUCUGCUCCACGCAACUUCAGGGAGAUAAGAUUUGUAGCUUGUAGCUUUAGUCUAUUCCAUUGCAACUUCAGGGAGAUAAGACUUGUUAUAGUAGAUUUAAUCCGACCCACUGCAACUUCAAAGGUAUAAGACUUGUCGCUUCAACCUGUUUCACUGCAACUUCAAGGAGAUAAGAUUUGUAGCUUGUAACUUUAGUCUAUUCCACUGCAACUUCAGAGAGAUAGGAUUUGUAUCUUCAAUCCACUCCACUGCAACUUUAGGGAGAUGAGAUUUAUAGCUUCAACCCGCUCCACUGCAACUUCAGAGAAAUAAGGUUUAUAGCUUUAAUCUGCUCUACUGUUGUAACACCCCUUACCUAUACCCGAGACCUGAGACUAGUUACGAGGCGUUAUCAGGCUUGUACUCGAACAUUUUCAGGAAAUAUGGGUUAUAAAAUUUCGUUCCAAUUUGAACCCAAUCGAAUAACAUCUUACUGUCCCUAUUAUGGGCCUCGUACAUUAAAAAUGGUCUAGGAUUAAACCAAGGAAAAAUUUUAAGUAAAUUUCUAGGUUAAUGUCUCACACGCCCGUGUGGAGACAAUGCACACACCCUUGUGCUUUGGGACAUGCCCGUGUCCCCUACCUGUGUGGAAUUAAUUGAAUUUAUUUCCUAUUUCGAACCUACAGGGGUUUUCACACGGCCAAGCACACGUCUGUGUGGUCGUCCGUGUCCAAAAACUUGGACAUUCUGUUUAUGACGUCAGCAUGUAUUUAGGGACACAGGGUCAAUACACACGCCCGUUUGCCAGGCCAUGCCCUCCACAUGGUUGAGACACACGGCCGUGUCUCUACCCGUGUGUUUACUACCAUGCAUUCUGACUUAAUAUUUUUAGGUGCAGGGGACAUACGACCAUUUCACAGGCCCAUGGGACGGUCCGUGUGUCACACACGGCCUAGACACAUGCCCAUGUGUCUACCCGUGUGGACCUUGUUAGACUAUUUUCCAAGCCUUUGGUCACCCUCUGAUAUGCAUAUUCACUUAUAGUUUUCAAUAACACUUGACAUGGUCUAAUUAUACUCUUCAAUGACCUUAAUACACUUCAUUGCAUGUAAACCUCAUCUUAUCGGUUUUCAUACAUGCUAGGUUAUCCCCUUUAUAAUAAGGAUUUCUAUGACUUGCAACUCAAUUGAGCUUCACUCGUUAUCAUAACUCAUUGCCAAAUUGUGGCCUAGCCAUCCCAUGCGAUUUGGUCAUAAUAUAUAUAUAUGACUAAUUGUGACACACCAUAUUUAAUCAUCACAAAAACAUUUGGACAUAAAUAUGCACAAAUUUGCAGGUCAUAACCUACAUCAAAAUGAACCAAUUCCCAUGGCCAUAUACAAGCGAACACAUAUACUUUUAUAAGUCUUCAUAUUGGCUAAUCAAAUGACACAUAUAACAAAAUAUCAAAAGCCCUAUACAUGCCAUUGAACAAAAUAAGAGUAUCUAUAUACCAAAGCUAGACAAGAUGAUAGUGUGUUGACUCUCCAACUGUCUCCCAAUCUUUGCGAAUCCACAAGCUCUGUAAGACAGGGAAAAGAUAGGGGUAAGCAUUUACAUGCUUAGUAAGCCCGAAUAACUGGAAAGUAAACUUACCGAUUAAUUAGCAUGGAUCCAUAUUAGGAAAUAAAACCAACAAACAUGAAAUAGUUUCCCUAUCACAUGCACUCAAACCGACAAAGCUAGUUCCAUAAUGAUAUACCAUGUAAUUUGUCUUAGAUGAGCUCAUCAUCCAACAUUUUCAUUUCCAUAUUUCAUGUUAAUCCCAUUGAGUUUCUCAAAAGUCUCGAUGGAUUAUCCAUUUACCGUCAAGUCAUAAAAGCGAUCAUCUCAAGUACGCACUCCCGCGAACCUCACAUCUUACGGCGGGAUUACCAGUCCAGGCUAAAUCCCCCUCAAUAUAAACUCAUAGGGUGAUGUCGGGAUUACCAGUCCAGUAAAAAAUCCCUUGUAGCGACAAGCACCCAUAAUGAGCUCGGAUCUAAAUUACCAGUCCAGGCUAAAUUCAGACCCUAGUCGGAUUACCCGUCCGGGCUAAAUCCACAAUGCACACAUAUUCUUCGGGAGGCUCGAUCACUCAAGAGACACCCGUUCGGGCUAGAUCCUUUCUAUAUUUGAGAUCAACGGAUUACCCGUCUGGGCUAAAUCCUUUUCUGCAACACAUGCAGGAUCUCAAGUCAUGUAAGCCAUGGUUUAUCCAUCGAAUUUCCCUUUUUACUUCAACCGGGACAUUUAUCAUCAUGUUAUUAUUAUUAACAUAUUUUAUGGAGUUUCAUGCCAUCACUAUAACCAAUUAUCAUACAUUCAUAAAACAUGCAUUUAGACAUAUUAAUAGUUUACUUAAAGUUAUUCGAACUUACCUGGUACUCGUUUUGGUUUUGCGUCUCGGUUAUUCUGAAACUUUUCUUUUUCCUCGAUCGACCUCAGGAAUUUGUUCCUCGGGGUCUAUAACAAUAAAUAUGAAUCAUUAAUACCUCACAUUAUUUUUUUCGAGUCUAAAUUUCACACCCGGACAAAAUGACUGUUUUGCCCCUAACAUUUCAUAUUAUUUACGAUUUAGUCCCUAGGCUCGUAUGAUAAAAUGCAUGAAAUUUAUACAUUACCCAAGCUUAGCCAAAUGUUCUUUCCCCGUAUGGCAGCCCACAUUUUUGCAUUAUUUCACAUUUCUACCACAUAUUUUACACCUUUUGCAAAAAGGUCUUUUAAGGGUUUUUCAUGAAAAUCACCUAGAAAAAUAUGUUUAACACAUAUCCAACUUUCAUAUUCCUCCAUAAAACAUCAAAGAAUAAACAUGUCACACAUGGUUCACUUUACAAAAAUGAACCCUAACUCAAAAUAUGGGUAGAAAUGGAGAGAGUAAGCUACCGGGAUUUCAAAAAUACGAAGAACAUUAAAAACGGGGCUAGGGAGCACUUGCUAUUGAGCUUGAAAAAUGAAGAACCUCUAGCUAUGGUGGCUCUCAAAUUUCGGCAGCUAGGUGGAGAAGAUGAGCUGAUUUUUGUCUUCAUUUUCCCAUUUUAUUUCAUUAAUUUGCCAAAUGACCAAAAUGUCAUUAAGCCAUUUUUUUGAAAUUUUAUCCAUACAUGCCCAUUUUUGUCCAAAAACUUAGAAAUUGGGAAAAUUGCUCUUUAAGAACUUCUAAUUAAUAAUCUAAAGCAAUUUCAUACAAAUUACUUCUAGAAUCCAAGUUUUGCAAUUUAUUCAAUUUGGUCAUUAUUUUUCAAUUGGACACCUUACUCAUAGAAUUUCUUCAUGAAAAUUUAACAUAUGCAUAUUUCAUAUUCUAGACCUCAUAAUAAUCAUAAAAAAUAUUUUAACGUCAGAUUUAUGGUCCUAAAACCACUGUUCCGACUAGGCCCUAUUUUAGGAUGUUACAACUGCAACUUCAGAGAGAUAAGAUUUGCUAACUUCAAUCUACUCCAUUGCAACUUUAGGUAGAUAAGACUUGUGACUUCAACCUGCUCUAUUGUAACUUCAAAGAGAUAAGGAUUAUAGCUUUAAUUUGCUCUACUACAACUUAAGAGAGAUAAGAUUUGUGACUUGUAACUUUAAUCUGUUUCAUUGUAACUUCAGGGAAAUAAGAUUCGUCACAAUGACUUUAAUCCAUCCCACUGUAACUUUAAAGGUAUAUGAUUUUUGGUUUCAUUGAUUUGUUACACCGAUCUCUAGGGAACAUGACCUGUAGAAUCCAUUUCAUAGGCCUGUAUUUGUGUCGAGUGAUUAGGAUGUUAUGAUCAAAAUAAAUCAAAUGCUCCUAACUAGAUGUGUAUGAAUGAUCUUUUCAUGAAUGUCGAAUGUCAUUUUUUUAGAAUGAUCACUUUUUAAUGUUUAGGCUGGCAUUGCUUGUUGUUCAUCAAAGGUUCUACCACUGACAGAUUACUUUGCCUUCUUGUUCAGUUAGUAUCUUUGAUAGAAAACCUGAAAAAAUAAUCACAAUUUAAACUAUUCUUUCCCAAAAAUUUCCAACUCUUAGAUUUGGUUAGUUCUGACUAUUGGUCCUAUUUCAAGUCCUUGUACUAUUUAGGAAACCUUUUAGAGCAAUAUGCAGAAAUCCUUUCACUUGAAUAUUAUUUGUCCAUUAAUCGUAAUUUCAAUGAAAAAUACUUGCAAAAGAUUGUAACAAUGGACAAUAUUGAAAUUUAUUGGGAGCAAAGCUCGAAAUGAAUAAAUUAAUCAAAAUAGCAAACGUUGCUAAAAUACGAAAUGAGUAAGAUGAAAUUAGGUGUCUCAAAUAUCGCAGCAUGAGCUUCUUUGCACAAACUUCUUGAGGACUAUUUUGAUCCCGAUAUGUUUUUAGGAGAUCUAGAGUACUUUUUUGAUGCCUCAAGAUGUAACGUUCCUCCUCCUUAUUAAUUCUGAGGGAACAAGACUACCACAUGCCCUAUCCUUUGGUCAAAAUUUGAGCCGCCCUUUCUGGGUUUUCAACUCAAAACUCCUUUAGUCUCAAAACGCCCUUUGCAGGUUUUUGCCUUGGUCUCUCCUCUUUUUUUAUAGGUGAAGUACUUCUUGACUGAAUCUGAAUUCACAGGAUUAUGCAGAUUUUUACGAUCCAUCUCGGUUAAAAUCAGUGGUCCUCUGGAAAAAGGUAUUCUUUACCAUAUAAGGUCUUUCCCAAUUUAGCAUUCAUUUACUUUUGAAAUCUUUUUGUAUGGGCAUGAUCUUUUUCAAUACUAAAUCCCUCUCAUGGAAUUCUCUGAGACGAACCUUUUUGUUGUAAGCUCGCAUCAUUCGCUUUUGGUACAUCUGACCAUGACGGAUGGCUUUCAACAUUUUCUCUUCAAUCAAGUUUAGAUGAUCAUAUUGGGAUUGGAUCUAUUCUGCUUCAUCCAACUUUAAUUUUGCUAAAACUCGAAGAGAAUGAAUCUCGACUUCAAUGGGUAAAACCUCCUCCAUUCCAUAAACCAAAGAGAAAGGCGUUACCCCGGUAGAGGUCCUAACAUACGUUUGAUAAGCAUAUAGAGCAAAUGGUAACUUCUCAUACAAUCUUUAUAAGUCUCAGUUAUUUUCCCCACAAUCUUCUUUAUAUUCUUAUUGGUUGCCUCCACUGCACCAUUCAUUUUUGGGCGAUAUGGUGAUGGGUUAUGGUGUUAGAUUUUGAACUGACUGUUGACUUCUGAUACCGUGUUGUUGUUCAAAUUUGGCGCAUUGUUAGAUAUAAUUCUUUCUUGCAUUCCAUAUCGACAAAUGAUCUAUUUUUUCAAGAAUUUGUUGAUUACCAACUUUAUGACAUUGGCGUAAGAAGUGACUUCUACCCACUUAGUGAAGUAAUCGAUGACUACGAAAAUGAAUCAAUGCCCAUUGGAAGCUUUUGAUGAUAUCGGCCCAAUUACAUCCAUGUCCCAUAUAGAUAAAGGCCAUGGAGAAGUCAUGACAUGAAGAGGUGAAGGAGGAACAUGAAUUUAGUCUCCAUAAAUUUGGUAUUUGUGACAUCUCUUGGUGUAAUUAAUACAAUCCUCUUUCAUGGUGGACCAUUAAUACCCGAAUCUCAUGAUUUGCUUGGCUAUUAUGAAAUCAUUAGCAUGUGUUCCGCAGACACCCUCAUGGACUUCUUCCAAGAUUUUCUUAGCCUCAACAGUGUUUACACAUCUUAGCAGCACCUGAUCAAUUCUUCUCUUGUAUAGGAUAUCCCCAUCUAAGAUAUAGUCACUAGCCAGUCUUCUUAGUGUCCUUUUGUCAUUCUCAGUUGCUUGGUCAAGAUAUUCACGAUUCUUUACAUACCGCAGUAUAUCUUGGUACCAAGAGUGAUCAUCAUUUUCUUCUUCUUCUUCGAUGUUGUAACAAUGAGCCAGAAUCUCAUAAAUACUAAUCUAGAUAGGUUUUACAUCCUCUUAUUUGCUCACUUUGACCAUAGGAGCUAAGGUAGCUAGGGCAUCAGCCAUUUGAUUUUCAUUUCGUGGGAGAUAGUAGAAGGUGAUAUCAUCAAACUGUUCAAUCAGCUCCAGAACCAGCCUUCGAUAAUUGAUCAAUUUGAGGUCUCUCAUCUCUCAUUCACCUUUAAGUUGAUAGAUCACUAAUGCAGAAUCUCCAUAUGCCUUUAGCACUUUAAUCUUACGUUCUAUGGCUGCACGGAUACCAAUGAUGCAUGCUUUGUAUUCUACCAUAUUGUUUGUGCAAUUAAAAUCCAAUUUACUAGUGAAUGGAUAAUGAUCUCUUUUUGGGGAUACUAAGAUUGCCCCAAUUUCAUUACCCAUGGUGUUUGAGGCUCCAACGAAGUUUAGCUUCCAAGGAUAACCUUCUUGAGAUUCUUCUUCAAUGGUUGCAACAUACAUUAGAUCUUCAUUUGGGAAAUCAAAGUUCAAAAGCUCGUAAUCUUUUAGAACUUUACUGGUCAGAAAAUCUGCUAUAACGCUCCCUUUUAUAGCCUUCUGAUUCACAUAGACUAUACUGAAUUCUUAAAGCAAAAUUUGCCAUCGGACCAUUCUUCCAUUCAAAACAGUCAACUCCAUCAUGUACUUCAGAUGGUCCAUCUUUGAGAUGAGCCAAGUUGUAUGGUACAAUAUGUACUGUCUCAAUCUUCGGGUUGUCCAAAUCAAGGCGCAACACAACUCUUGGAUUGGUGAAUGUCUUGUCUCACAUUUAGUGAAUUUUUUACUGAGAUAGCAUACCGCUCUUUCUUUUCUUCCUGACUCAUCAUGCUGGCCAAGCACGCAUCCCAUAAAAUUUCCAAAUAAAGUAUCAGCGGCUUAUUUGGGCUAGGUGGCACCAGUAUUGGGGCAUUGGAUAAAUAAUGUUUAACCUUGUCGAAAGUCUUCUGGCACUCCUCAUCUCAAACGCCUGGAUUGCGUUUCUGAAGGAGCUAGAAUAUGAGGUCGCAUUUCUCAAUUAGUUGUGAAAUGAACCGGGCGAUGGAAUUUAGUCUUCCUAGGAAACCUUGAAUUUCUUUUUUAGUGCGUGGCAGAGGCAACUCUUGUAUAGCCUUAACUUUAUCUGGGUCGAUUUCGAUCCCUUUUUCACUGACUACAAAUCCUAACAAUUUUCUCGACCUGGCCCCGGAGGUACAUUUUACUAAAUUAAGCUUUAACUGAAUUUUUCUCAACCUCAAGAACAAUUUCCUUAGGACUUGUAUAUGCUCCUUUUCUGUUCAGGACAUUGCAAUUAUAUCGUCGAUAUAAACCUCGAUUUCUUUGUACAUCAUAUCAUGAAACAAGUUACCAUGACUCUUUGAUAUAUCGAUCAUGUAUUUUUCAAUCCGAAUGACAUCACUUGAUAGCAAAAUGUUCCCCACAUGGUUACGAAUGUGGUCUUCUCCAUGUCUUCAGGAUGCAUCUUUAUCUUGUUGUAUCCCGAGAAACCAUCUAUGAAGGAAAAUAGUGAGUAACAUAUCAUGUUGUCCACUAAAAUGUCAAUAUGAAGCAAUGAGAAAUUGUCUUUCAGGUUGAUUUUGUUCAAAUCCAUAUAGUCUACGCACAUUCGUACUUUCCCAUCUUUUUUAGGGACAGGGAUGAUAUUAGCUACCCAUUCUGAGUAUUUAACAACUUGUAAGAAACCAGCAUCGAAUUGCUUCUUGACCUCCUCUGUUUUUUUAGCAAAAUGUAGGGCCUCGUCCUUCGAAGUUUCUGUUGAACUGGCUUACACUCUUCCUUUAUGGGGAGCCGAUGUACCACGAUAUCAGUACUUAACCCUGGUAUGUCUUGAUAUGACCAUGCAAAGACAUCCUUAAAUUCUUGGAAUAACUCAAUGAGGUCUCGCUUUGUCUCUACGGUAAUGCAAGCCCUAAUCUUCACCUAUUUUUCCUCUCCUAAGUUCACAAUUUCGACUGACUAUUUUUAAUGUAGAAUUUAUUUCUCAUCUUGUUCUACUAUCCUUAACAAAUUAGGAGAUAGGUGGUAAUCUCGAUCAUCUUAAAGGUCCUAAGGUUUCUCUAAACACAUAUCUUGCUCAAAAGGAGAUCUUAAGUCAAUAGCAGUGUCGCUCAUAUCAUUGAUAUCUGGAAACCUAUUAUAGGAACGGAGGAAGACCCAAAGAUCAAAUGAAUCUAAGAAUAACUAUCUAUGUGGUAUGAGUAUGAAUGAAAUGGAAAGAACAAAAGAAUGCUUGCCAAAACAAGACAUGAAUAUGCAUUUUAUUGAAAUAAAAAUAGCGAACUUGUGCCUUUUUCGCAAAAGGAUUCCUAUUGCUCCUAUGCUUAGAGCAACAGGUGUGUUCUUUUGCUUUUCUUGGAUGGUAGUCUAUUACACAAUCAUAAUCUUUCAGAAGCUCAAUCCACCGUCUUUAUCUAAAAUUCAACUUCUUUUACGACAAAAGAUAUUUUAGGCUCUUAUGAUCAGUAUAAAUGUAACAUUUCUCACCAUACAAGUAAUGCCUUCAAAUCUUCAAUGCAAAGAUUACUGCAGCUAACUCCAAAUCAGGUGUCAGGUAGUUGCACUCAUGUGGCUUCAACUGACGAGAUGCAUAAGCUAUUACUUUUCUAUCUUGCAUCAAUACACAACCCAAACCGCUCAUAGAAACAUCACUGUAUGCAACAAAGUCCUUUCCUGACUCUGGAAAGGUUAAAAUAGGUGCCUCAGUAAACAUUUACUUCAAUGUCUCAAAACUCUUCUGGCACUGAUCAUCCCAGAUAAAAGGAAUAUUCUUUUAUAGAAGCUUAGUCAUCGGCAAUAUUAUUUUCAAAAAUCUAUUAACAAAUCUUCGGUAGUAUCCAGCUAGUGCCAGAAAACUACGUACCUCGGAUACGUUCUUUGGUGCCUCCCAUUGAACAAUCACCUUAAUCUUCUUUAGAUCAACUCUGAUUCCAUCAGCAGACACAACUUGUCCCAAAAACACCACCUCCGAUAACCAGAAUUCACAUUUACUCAACUUCCCGUACAACUGUUUUCUCGUAGAAUCUGUAAAACUAUUCUGAGAUGUUGAUCAUGUUCUGACUCUAUCUUCGAAUAAACCAAUAUAUCAUCAAUGAAGACCACCACAAAUUAAUCUAAAUAUGGCUGGAAUGUAACACCCCUAACCCGUAACCGUCGCCGUAAUAGGUUAAGAGGUAUUACUGGACUUGUAACUCAGUUCAGAACAAUCAUUUAUCUAAUAACUUCUAUUCUCAGUUAAUAUCAUUCAUUCACAUUCAGUAUGUACUUAAAUCAAGCAUACAAAGCUUUAAUCAUGCAUUCGAGACUAAAUCGUAACAUAUUAAAAAUUUAAGAAACUUAGAAAAAUUUUCACUUUUCAAGUGUUACAUGCCCGUAUGAACAAGCCGUGUGCCUCACACGGCUAGUAGACACACCGGUGUCUAAAACCGUGUGAAAACAGGGCAUACAUAUUAACUUGUGCCACAUGGCCAAGGGCAUGUCCAUGUGCCAUGGCCGUGGAAAACCUAGAGAGGUUAUUGACUUGGGUCACACGGCUGGCCACAUGCUCAUGUGCCAGCCCGUGUGCCACACACAGCUAGUAGACACGCCCGUGUGUCUUAGCCGUGCCAAACCUGUAAGGUAUACUGACUUAAUUUCGAAGGGUACCCUAGGGGACACACAACAGUGCAACAUGACCGUGUGUCACACACGGCUAAGACACAUGCCCGUGUGGACAAAAAUAGGCCAUUUGUAAAGCCAUUUUGCCACCCUAAAAUACAAGCAUUCAUAAGCAUAUAUAACCACAUUUUGCAACACAUUAGGUAGCCAAAAUAACGAUUUCAAUACACAUAAUUUUCCAUAUCAAAAACUAACAAUUACAUGCCCAAGUACCUAAUUAACAUCAUGCAUAAUCCAUUCAUUUAACAACUACAUAUCAAAACUCUACUUGUAUAAUUUCUUUCCAUUAUUACCUUGCUAAAACAUACCAUAUUUUAACACUUAUACACAACCAAGUAUAAUGCCAAAAUAAGCCAAAUCACAUGGCUUAGCUUAAACACAAAAAUAUGCCAAAGUCAUGAUAUCAAUUAACAUAAAUAUCAUCUCCUAAUCUAGCCUAUACAUGCCGUAUUUACAUAUAUCCACAAGAUCAAAAGUACCAACUGGAAUUUGGAUAGUGUGAUGUGCAACUCCAACUUGUCCGAAACGAGCGAGCUAACGAACCUCUAUAAAAAACAUAGAAAAGAAACAGAGUAAGCUUUAUAGCUUAGUAAGCCCGUAUAAUUUAGAAUUAAACUUACCAUUUAUAUAUAAUCAAAGCAAUACUAAAAAUACAACUAAUUCAAUUAACCAACACCUAAUCAAAAGUAUUCAUCACAUGUUAGUCAUUGUAAAAAUAUAUGAAACCAUCAUUAUUACAAUGCUUAUCAUCAUUCCAAAUUCAUAUAUCAUAUAUAACAUUAAUAAGAUUUAUAAACCGUAACUCGUUCGUAUAUCAAUAUUUAGGCUCGUUGAACCUGUUAGAACUUCAAAGGAUAAUCGAGUGAACAAUGUCAAUAAUAUGUCAAUUCAUCAUCAUAUAUGCUCUUUCGAGCCAUAUUCGGUAAGCACCUCCUGAGCUGAUGAACAGUAAGCUCUAUUGAGCUGAAACGAUAAGCUCUUUCGAGCUGAACAGUAAGCUCAUACGAGUUGAAACGGUAAGCUCUCACGAGCUGAUAUAUCGGUAAGCUCAUGUGAGCUGUUGUGAGUCCGCAACAAAUGCAGGAGCUUGACCAAAACGGUAAUCCCAAUAACAUGUCACUCAUAUCCAAUGAAUCCAUAGAGUUCAAACGAGGCUCAUUGACAAAUACAUUAUAUCAAUAAGGCAUUAUACUUCAAAUAUUUUCAUUUUACACAUUCAUUUCAAUAAUCAAAAGCAUAUAAAAGUUCGAUUCUAAUUAUACGAACUUACCUCGAGUUACUCGAAUGAAAAUUAUCAUCUAUUCGCCAACUUUUCUUUUUCCCUGAUCUAGUUCCGGUAUUUGCUUAUCUUGAUCUAUAUGAUAUCAAAUUAACUCAUUCAAACUUUCAUUCAAUUCAAUUUAGUUUAAAACAUUCAUUUUGGCUAAAUUAUAAUUUUACCCCUAAACUUUUAACUACUUUGCAAUUUAGUCCUUAACACAUAAAAAUGCAAAAUUACACAAUUAGGCUAAUACCCAUGGUAGCCGAAUUUAAUACAACUUUAUAGCAACCCAUAUUUUCAUUUAUUUCACACUUUUAAGCACAACAUUUUGCAAAUUCACAAUUUAAUCAUUAAUUGACAUUUUUUUCAAAAAUCACUUAACAAAACUUGUAUAUCUAUCAUUAAACCUUAAUAAUCUAUCAUUAAACAUUUAAACAACCAAGCAUUCAAUAAUGACAUCAUUCAAAAUCUGUAGCAGUUUUGAAAACGAAGGUAUGGGCUAGCUAGAUUAAGCUGCAAUGAGCUCAAAAACGUAGAAAGCAUUAAAAACGAGUCAAAACCGUACCUUAAUCUAGCUAGGAAUGUGUCGAAACCAUAGAAGCUUCAAAACCUUUAUUUUGUUUCUCAAAUUUGGUAAGAUGAUGAAUGAAUUAACAUGAUUUUGGUUUUGUUUUUUUAUUAUUAACUAAUUACAUAAAUUACCAUUAUAACCUUGUUAAUAUAACUUAAACAUCAUUUAAACAAUGUCCAAGAAUGUCCACUUACAUUAUAAAUGGACAAAUUACUUAAUAAGGACUUCCAUAUUAAUAAACCAUAGCUAUUUAAUACUUUUACACAAUAGAACUCAACUUUUACGUGUUACGCGGUUUAGUCUUUUUUACUGAAUUAAGCAUUUAAGCGGUAAAAUUUCUUUACGAAACUUUUACAUAGUUAAUCUAUCAUGCUGUAAACCUUAUUAAAAUAAAAAAAUAAAUAUUUUGACUUUGAAUUUGUGGUCCUGAAACUAUUGUUCCGAUUUGACCUAAAAAUGGGUUGUUGCAUGGAAAAUGCGAUUCAUCAGAUCGAUGAAUGCAGCUAGGGCAUUAAUCAACCUGAACGGCAUCACCAAAAACUUAUAAUGACCAUACUGAGUAUGCUUUAGCAUAUCACUUUCUUUUACUUUCAACUGAUAAUACCCGGAUCUUAAAUCAAUCUUUGAAAAUACCGAAGCUCCGUUUAACUGGUAAAAAAAAUCAUCUGUAUGGGGCAAAGGAUAUCGGUUCUUGAUCUCACUUUGUUUCAUUGUCGGUAAUCGAUACAAAGUCACAUUAAGCCAUCUUUUUUUAACAAACAAUACCGGUGCACCCCAUGGUGAAAUGCUCGGUUUAAUAAAUCCACGAUCUAACAAAUCCUGUAAUUGUAUCUUCAAUUAUUUCAAUUCAGUGGGCGACAUUCGGUAGGAAGUGUAGAGAUUGGUGCUGUCCCUGGAUACAUCUCAAUAGCAAAUUCAACUUCUCUGUUAGGUGGUAAACCUGGUAAUUCUUCAGGAAAUACAUCCGGAAACUCACAUACGGUUCUGAUUUUGCUACAUUGACUUCCAACUGAAUCAGAAUUAAUAACAUAAGCUAAGCAAGCUGCACAACCAUGCUGAAGCAACUUAUUGGUCUUUAUUACCGAAAUGAUGCGUGUUGAUCUACUAGUACGGAUACCAUUCACUUUAAUUUUGUCUUCGUCUUCUAUCUAAAUACUGAACCUCUUUUUAUGAUAAUCUAAUACUACUCCGUGUUCAAAUAACCAAUCCAUGCCCAAGAUUACAUCAAAAUCGCUGAAAGGCAUGAUCAACAAAUCAACGAAAAACAUUUUAUCAUGUAUUAUCAAUGGGCAUCUUCAGCACAAUCGGUCUACAGACAUAGUUUGUCCUAAAAGGCUAGACACCUCUUCAGAUUUUAAUUUUUUCGAUUCAACCAAUUUCGAAUUAAUAUAUGAAUGUAAUGAUAUCGGGUUAAUUAAUGCGUAAACAGGUUUAGAAUACAAUAAAAUAUACCUGUCACGACGUCAUGUGCAUCACCUUCUUCCCUAGUUCUAACUACAUAUGCCUGGCUGGCGCUCUAGCCUCCGACUGCUGAGUAACUAUGUCACUGCCUUUUCUUACACCACCACCUCUAGAAAUAGAACUGCCUCUACCCAAGCCUCUGUCUCGAGCAGUAGACACUGAUCUCUGUGAUGCUGCAGGUGCGGUGCUUUCACUUUUCGGGCAGUCUCUAAUAAAAUGAUCUGUAGACCCAUAUUGGAAGCAUCAUUUGAUUAUUCUUCAACAUUCACCUUUAUGCUUUUUCCCAUAAUGUUCGUAGUCCGGCAUGUUAAUGUCUCGAGAAGGGCCUCUUACACUGCCAGUAGAAAUUGUAGUUUGCUUUCCCCGGCUUUUAUCACCUCAGUCUGAUCUAAAACUCGGCCUUCAACCACCUCUGGUUUCUUUGGAUCUUUUUAGCUGAGGAUUAGAACUAGUAGUUCUAGCUCAUUUCCCGGUCGAUCUAACUAUUUCUGACUUUUUAUCCAAUUUCAAAACUUGCUCUACCAUUUUUGCCCGUUCGACCGAAUCUACAAAUUUUGUGAUUCGGUGUGAUACCAGCUGUACUCUGAUUUUAUCUCUUAAGCCUCGUAGCAACUGCUUACAACUUUCAGCCUCUGUCGGUAUAAACUCUGAAGCAUAUCAACUGAGUCUAGAAAAUUCCUUUUCAUAGUCUACUACUGAUAGAUUAUCUUAUUUCAACAUAAAAAUUCUUGCUUUUUGUCUUCAAUAUAUAAUUCCCCGACAUAUUUAUUCUGGAAUUAUUUAUAAAAUAAAUCCCAUGUUACCUGUUCUGUUGGUAGAUGUCGAAUUACAGAUUCCACCACAAAUAAGCUUCGCAUUGCAGUAAAGAAACAGCAUAGAUAAGACAUUUCCGGGGGGUACAUUCUAGUUGUUGCAGAACUCUUUUAGUUGAUUCCAUCCAAUUCUCUGCUGUGGAUGGACCUACUCCUUUCAGACCCAAAAAUUUAGUGGCACCUUAUUUUCUUAAUUUUUUUAUUGGGGCUCGUCUCGGAGUAGGUCUGAAUGUCGUAACAUGAGCAGUUCCCGCUACCCUUUGUAAGGCAUCAGCAAUUACUCCUAAUAAAUCAGAAUCAUCCCUAUCUCUCACAUUUCCCCUAUCUACUCUAGGGGGUUGAUUUCUCAUCGGGUUUAUACUAGGUAUUAUUGAUUCAGUUUCAUCUAAACUGUAUGAUUUUUCAUCUCCGGUGUACAUUUUUGGUCAGUAUCAUUUAUUCGUUCACCUGACGUCUUUAAUCUAUAAAAUAGAAACAAAUAAAUAGGUCAGCAUCCAAAUCUCGACUCAGUUUCGACUCAAUACUGGCAUGUACCUCUAGACUCACUUUCGAGCUCGAUUUAGCCCGAGAAUCAGCUAAACUGAAUAGCUCUAAUACCAACAACUGUAACACCCCCUAACCCUAAACUGUCAUCGAAACAAGGUUACGGAGCAUGACCAGACAUAUCGGACAAUUUACAAAUAAUUCAUAAAUAAAUUAACAUACAUAGUAUAAUUUAAUCAUUAAAUCCCUAUAAUGGACCCUCGAGACCCAAAACAUGUUUUAGAACUAGAACGGGAUUUGUUCGAGUACUCCAAAAAUUUUUUGUAAUUUUUUUGAACUCAAUAUAACCCCUUUAUAAAUAUCUAACAUUCCCUGCAAUUUCAAAUCGUAACCAAUUUACAAUUAAUAUGGAAACCAACACAUUUUCACAUUCAAAUAUACUUCAGUCAUGCCUAAAACAUUGACUUAUCAAAUUGAUCAACAACAUUCAUGAUACUAUAUAAAAGUUAACUAACAAACUUCAUUUAUCUCAUUUCAACUUUAGUACCAAACAUACCAUUUUAUAACUUAACAUUUCAUUUAUCAUUCAAACAUUAAAGACCACUUCUUUACAACCAAAACUCACAAGACUCUUAAAUAAGACCUAGGUACAUGCCACAUUUACCAAAAGGAAAAAAAUACAUCACCAAAGUUGUGCUGAAAUCAGGAUUGAUCUGGAUGCUAAACCGAGACCUUUGACUUCUACUGACCUGCGCACGGAAACAACCGUACGCUGAGUAUGUCUAUACUCAGUGGUAUUACCAUAAUUCAAACUUUAUAACAUUAAUGAAUUAUAAAUAUCAAUCAUAUAACAUUUUAAAUCAUAAGAACUAAUUUACAUUCAAAUUCAUAUAUCAUCUAUAACAUUUCAUAAACUAAUAUCAUAUAUCAACAAUUUGGUCUUUUAUCAAAUUCAUGAACCUUAGGUUCAGGCUUUCAAAUCUCACAUCCUAUUUCAAUUCACAAUUCGAUUCACAAUUUCUUUUUCAUACUUUCAAUAGUACGAUUAAUCAAAUUCAUUCAAUUUUCUCAUUUCAUUUAUUUACCCUAUUAACAAAACUCGGACCUUGACGGAUACACAAAUUCCAACCAAACACACUAGAAUGAUCCAUCCAAACACACCAAAACAAUCCUCCCAAACACACUAGAAUAAUCCACCCAAACAAACCAGAAUGGCACUAAGUGCCUCUUCGGAUAGUCCGAAUAAAUAUAGUAACAUCAAUGUCUCCUCGGCCAAGCCAAAAAUCCCCAAAUUCUUCCAAUCCUAUGAUAUACGAACUAUAUCCGACUCAACCCAACUAGUUAAUAGGGUAUUCAAUUUUCAUAUUUCAAUCCCAUCACUUUCUCAUAUUUCCAAUUCAAAUCAUUCUCAAUUUAAUCACAGUUCAAUUCAAUACAAUUUUCCACUUUCCAAUCAAUAUAUCAUCAAAUAUUCAUACAUAAUCAUUCUUCAUCUCAAUUUCAAUCAUUUCAAUAUUGAUAAUUACCUUAUAAUUUACUUACCAUACAUAUAAAUUUAAAUAUAACAUUAAUAAAUAGUAGUUCGAAUUAUAGUGAUACGAACCGUGGUUUUCUCGUGUCUACUCCUAGAUAACUUUUUCCUUUCCUUUUUGAGCCGAUGCCUCUGGUUCUUUGCUAGCAAACUAAGCUCCACGCUUUAAAACCCUAAUUUUUUCUUUUUCUCCCUUCCUUUCUCUGUUUCAUUUCACUCUCUAUUUCUUUUUAUGCUUUGUUUCUUUUAUUCUUUUUAUGUGUUGUUUACUUUAUUAGUUUUAUAAUAAUAUAAUAAUAAUUAUUUAAUUAAUAAAUAUCUUUAUACUUAAAUUAUAAGUAAUUAUUUAUUUAUUUUACAAGUGUAUAAAUAUAUGCAUUACAGAUGUAUAAUUUAAUCACCAUACAUCUGACAUAAUUUAGUUUAUUUUUAUAAUAUAAUAUUUAUAAUAAUUUAAUUUAAUAAUAUAUUUUAUAAUUAAAUCAUAUAUAAUUAUGUAAUUAAAAUCUAAAGUAUCUAAGAUUUUAGCAUGGUUUGCUGCUUCAUUUAUGAGGAUUGGCCUAAUUUCCCUUUUAGUCCUUUUUAUUUUCUUUUAAUCUACAAUUUAAUUUUUACCCUUUAUUCACUUUAGUCCAUUUUUUCCUAAUUACUCUUAAUUAAGCUAAAUUCACUUAAUAAAAACCUAAUUAGACACACAACUAGGCUCAUAAUUAUUUCUAAUAAAUAUUUACUAAUUCGGUUUACCAAGACGAAGGCCCGAAAAUGUACCUUUUCGAUGCUCGUGAAUUUUGGGUCAUUAUACAAAAUACAGUAGUUGAUAAUAUGGUCAAGUGUAUCAUUGGUUUGAAGAACCAUUACAAUCAGCUAGAAGUUUAAAUGAGGCGGAUUAUGUUCUUGCUUUGAGUCACUAAUGUCAUUUUUUGAGUUUUUAACUUUAAGUUGUCUUUUUUGUACCAAAAAAAAUGUGUACAAAUACUUUACACCACAUGAAUUAUUGAGAGGAGAAAAUUAUAUUAGUUGUAUAUUUUUUUUAUAAUUUUGUAUAAGAUAAAUAUUUUAAUAACUGUUGCAUGUUAUAUUUAUGUAAUAUGGUAUGCAAAGGUUUUUUUUAUUGUUUAUAUAUGUUUACAAUUUAUAUUCAGUGUUUGUGGUUAUUCUUUCCAACAAUAUUGUUUCUAAAGUUCAAAGUUGUAUCUCUCUUUAAGAAUGCAAAAUAUCUUACCAUUACACUUAGCACUUGAGCAAAUGAAAAUUCCACUAAAAGUCUUUCACUUGCUUUUCUUUUAAGGGUAAAGUACAAAAAUAUCACUAAACUAUUGACUUUGUUCUAUUUUAGUCACUCAAUUAUUACUUUUUUUAUUUAAUCACUAAACUUUUCAAAAUUAGAUAUUUUAGUCACUCUUAUGUUAGUUAUCAUUAGAUGAUUAACGAAAAGUUGAUGUGAACCUUUUUUAUUGGUCUAAUAAUAAAUUCAACCCUCUAAUGUUUACACAUUCUAUUAAUUUGAUCCCAAAUAUAAAAAAAAUAAACAAAUUUAGCCUUCAAUGUUUACAAAAUUUGUCAUUUUAGUUCAAAUUCUAAAAACUUUAAUAAAUUUAGCUCUCAGCAUAUACAAAAUGAUACGUUUUGAUUUUUAAAAAUUUAUCCUAAACUUUUAGUCGUCGGAUCUCUUUUAUCAAUGUCAAGUUUAUAUAUUUAAAAUAUUAUCCUAAACAUUAAGGGUUAAAUUUGUUGAAUUUUUUAAUAUUUAGGAUCAAAUUAAUAAAAUGUGUAAACAUUAAAUAGCUAAAUUUGUUAUUAGACCAAUAAAUAAAACUCGCAUCAGCUUUCCACCACUCAUCUAAUGGUAACUAACGGGAGAGUGGCUAAAAUAUUUAAUCUCGAAAAUUUUAGUGACUAAAUUAAAAAAAUUAAUAGUUGAGAGAUCAAAAUUGAAUAAAGUUAAUUGUUUAGUUACUACCCUUUUUUAAAUGAGGCAGGCAUUCACCUUUUAAUACAUAACCUUCCAUGUUGCUUUUACGGUUACUUUUUAUGCAUUUAGAAUAAUAUAAAUUUAUAUAUAAGUAGUACUUUUAUAGAAAAUACAGUGCAAAUUAAUAAGUAAUCAUUACUGAAAAUCAUUAAAAUUAUAUAAUAUUCAAAAACAAAUGAAUUUUGAAUUUCAUCAUAAAUAAUUGGUAGUAGAAUUUGAUUUAAUUUGUAGGUGUACAUUAAUAAUAGAUAAAAUUAAUUGUAAUUUUAAUUUAUUCAAAUUAUUAAAAUAACCACUAAUUUUUAAAAUUAAUGUUAAAACAUUAAUUUGAAGUUUUAGCUUUAAUAUUAAAAAUUAUUUUUUAACAUUUUAUAUUUCAAAUAUUUUUUAAAUUUAAAAUCAAAUAACAAUAUUAUUAACUAAAAAAAUUGUAUUAAAUAUAAUCAAAUUAAACUAUAUGAAUUUAUUUACAUUGAUAACAUAAACAAGAACUCAAAUGUUCAUUUACAACCUUAACUUUAAGCAACUAAACGAUAAAUCGAUUUUGCAAACAAAUUAUUAGCUCUUGGUAUCGAAAGGCCGAACUUCUCAGUCAUGUCGAGUUUAUUAGGCAACAUUUUAUUAGGCAACUCCCAAUCAAAACAAUGGACUAAUUAAGCUAAAAUUAGACGCAUACUGGUUACGCCUAACUGCAUUCCAGGGCAUCUUCUAUGACCAGUUCCGAAAUCAUGCCCUCGAAGGUCUAUCUUUCUAUCCUUGAAUCUUUCUGGAAAGAACUCUUCGACAUUGCUCGACCACAUUUUGGGGUUUCGCGCUAUGGACCAAGUGUUCACCAAAAGCCGUGACUUCUUAGGUAUGAAAUAUCCAUUAACGAUGACAUCUUCGGUCGACUCGUGCGGGACUAACGACAGUGCCAUGGGAUGCAACCUGAAACUCUCUUUGAUGACCAUAUCCAAAUAUUAGCUGUAUAUCACAGCCACGUUGCUAGCCUAUUUGCUGUGUGAUGCAGCCACGUCGCAAGAUAACUGUAACGUUCUUUGUCCCUAUUAUCCAUUUUGUUACAAAGGAC
RNAcentral lists this long non-coding RNA (34675 nucleotides) under Gossypium barbadense (sea-island cotton). RNAcentral describes it as "long non-coding RNA (GBAR_LNC000155)". Lineage: Eukaryota; Viridiplantae; Streptophyta; Magnoliopsida; Malvales; Malvaceae. The record is from RNAcentral.